UCCAGUGGCGAUGCCUUGGUGGAUCCACCUGUUCCCAUUCCGAACACAGUAGUUAAGCACCAAGAGGCCGAAAGUACUUGCCUGUAGACGGGCUGGGAGGAUAGGAAGCUGCUGGUU
This 117-nucleotide ribosomal RNA is filed under the name Pseudoselenomonas ruminantium. The record is from RNAcentral. Lineage: Bacteria; Bacillati; Bacillota; Negativicutes; Selenomonadales; Selenomonadaceae.